RNAcentral lists this long non-coding RNA (338 nucleotides) under Trifolium pratense (red clover). RNAcentral's name for it is "long non-coding RNA (TPRA_LNC013683)". Lineage: Eukaryota; Viridiplantae; Streptophyta; Magnoliopsida; Fabales; Fabaceae. The record is from RNAcentral.
AGAUUAAUUACCGUUUUAGUGAAGGUCUGUUCAAAUUAAUUAUCGUAUGAAACUACUACUGGUAUUUUCGUCAUGCCUCUCACCUUGUAGCUCAUUUUUUAAUACUAUUUACAUGCAUGGAAAGCUAACGAAAUUACCCUUGUUGGCAUUUCAAUUUCGUCGAAUUUGGAGUUACGAUGCGUUCGGUAGACGAUGUUGAAUUUGAAGAUCACAAGUGUAUUUCUGCAAAAUUAGUAAUUGGACAGACUUUCACUAAAACGGUAAUUAAUCUCUCUCUGUAACUCCAAAUUUAGUGGGGUUUGAUUCUGUGGAAAGCUAACUCGAUUACGGUCGUUUCG